GAUGAAGAACGCAGCGAAAUGCGAUAAGUAGUGUGAAUUGCAGAAUUCAGUGAAUCAUCGAAUCUUUGAACGCACAUUGCGCCCUUUGGUAUUCCAAAGGGCAUGCCUGUUCGAGCGUCAUUUGUACCAUCAAGCUUUGCUUGGUGUUGGGCGUCUUGUCUCCAGUUCGCUGGAGACUCGCCUUAAAGUAAUUGGCAGCCGGCCUACUGGUUUCGGAGCGCAGCACAAGUCGCGCUCUCUUCCAGCCAAGGUCAGCAUCCACAAAGCCUUUUUUCAACUUUUGACCUCGGAUCAGGUAGGGAUACCCGCUGAACUUAAGCAUAUCAAUAAGCGGAGGA
RNAcentral lists this unclassified non-coding RNA (338 nucleotides) under soil metagenome. Its description in RNAcentral is "partial contains 5.8S ribosomal RNA, internal transcribed spacer 2, and large subunit ribosomal RNA". The stretch from base 1 to 120 matches the Rfam family "5.8S ribosomal RNA", at positions 35 to 154 of the family's 154-position model. The record is from RNAcentral.